GACAACAGCCAUGUCACCCUGCAGCCCAAGACCGGUUACUAACUGAAGCUAAGCAGGGCUGAGCCUGGUCAGUACCUGGAUGGGAGACCACUAGGGAACACUAGGUUGCUGUUGGAA
This 117-nucleotide ribosomal RNA is filed under the name Danio rerio (zebrafish). The record is from RNAcentral. Lineage: Eukaryota; Metazoa; Chordata; Actinopteri; Cypriniformes; Danionidae.